CCUACGGGUGGCAGCAGUGGGGAAUAUUGGGCAAUGGGCGCAAGCCUGACCCAGCAACGCCGCGUGAAGGAAGAAGGCCCUCGGGUUGUAAACUUCUUUUGUCAGGGACGAAACAAAUGACGGUACCUGACGAAUAAGCCACGGCUAACUACGUGCCAGCAGCCGCGGUAAUACGUAGGUGGCAAGCGUUAUCCGGAUUUACUGGGUGUAAAGGGCGUGUAGGCGGGAGAGCAAGUCAGAUGUUAAAUUCCAGGGCUCAACCCUGGAACUGCAUUUGAAACUGUUUUUCUUGAGGGAUGGAGAGGCAGGCGGAAUUCCGUGUGGAGCGGUGAAAUGCGUAGAUAUACGGAGGAACACCAGUGGCGAAGGCGGCCUGCUGGACAUUAACUGACGCUGAGGCGCGAAAGCGUGGGGAGCAAACAGGAUUAGAGACCCUGGUAGUC
Molecule: ribosomal RNA, 443 nt
Filed under: uncultured bacterium
Lineage: Bacteria
Description: partial 16S ribosomal RNA
Rfam family: Bacterial small subunit ribosomal RNA
Source: RNAcentral